AGAGAUGCAUUGGGCGUAAAGCGUGCGCAGGCGGUUUUGUAAGACAGAGGUGAAAUCCCCGGGCUCAACCUGGGAACUGCCUUUGUGACUGCAAGGCUGGAGUGCGGCAGAGGGGGAUGGAAUUCCGCGUGUAGCAGUGAAAUGCGUAGGUAUGCGGAGGAACACCGAUGGCGAAGGCAAUCCCCUGGGCCUGCACUGACGCUCAUGCACGAAAGCGUGGGGAGCAAACA
This 230-nucleotide ribosomal RNA is filed under the name uncultured Alicycliphilus sp. RNAcentral describes it as "partial 16S ribosomal RNA". It matches the Rfam family "Bacterial small subunit ribosomal RNA", at positions 548 to 774 of the family's 1533-position model. Lineage: Bacteria; Pseudomonadati; Pseudomonadota; Betaproteobacteria; Burkholderiales; Comamonadaceae. The record is from RNAcentral.